Molecule: long non-coding RNA, 1668 nt
Filed under: Polistes fuscatus (common paper wasp)
Lineage: Eukaryota; Metazoa; Arthropoda; Insecta; Hymenoptera; Vespidae
Description: uncharacterized LOC122523435
Source: RNAcentral
CUUACCCUACAAUUGUCUCCUCGAGGAUAGCAGUGGAUGCUCGCACGGUAAUUGCGAAUCGAGGUAGAGUCGUUAAUGCGUCAUAGCGUGCGCGUGCGAUCUCCAACUCGCUGACGUCUGACGAUAAAGCGCAGUCACUACUAAGGCGUGGGAACGAGAUGAAGUUAUGCGCGCGAGUUUAUUUAACCUUCUCCUUCUAACUUUGACGUUUCAGUACUUACAAUUAGAAAUGAUUUUUGACGAUAUAAUAUUUUGAAUGACGAAGAGAAAAGUGUCAACAUCAAGAAAAACCAUUUAUCGGCUUAUCGACGCGUCACUAAUCGCAAAAGGAAUGCGGAACAACGAAGAUCGGCAAUGAUGCGUAAGGGACGCGCUUAACUGUAGAAUUUCUAACGGUCAUGCUUCGGUAAAAAGGCAGUAAACGCUGAGUGUUACGAGAGCAUAGACGAAGAUAGGUGCGAAUUCAUGCGUGUCACUCACAUCGAUAGGUAUAACGCUUCUCGUGCGUUGCGAGAGUCUUCGAACGUGGUGCGUUAACAACGACGUCGCAUAAGCCUUGCGUAUCGAAGUGAGUCAAUGAGCCAUAGAAAGAUAGAGAAAAAGAUAAAAAAAUUGAAGAUGAAAAUGAGAAUGAUACAAAGAACGAGAGAAAUCUACAUAGAAAUACAUAUCUAUAUGUAAAUAUGUUAUAUGCGGAGAUAUAGAGAGCAAAAAACAGAAUGAAAAAUAGACGGUAAGACAAGGAAAAUAGAAAGAGAAGGAAUGGGGAGAAACGUUCCUAACACGCAAAGAUGCUUCGUGUACGAGACACGUGGACUACAUAUCCCUACCUAUUGGAGAUAGGAGGAUGAGGAAAGGAUAAAAGGAUGACAUGUGACUUGUCAUCGACGUCACGAACGUCGUCAUCGAGUCGAAUGGAAGGAAGCAAGCAGUCUUCUCGUUCCCACAGAGAAAUGUAUACUAAUUAAGGCAUGCAUUGUCAGGAUCAAUGUGCAAAGAAGACAUGCUAAUUACAUCUCGAAGAUGUCUUUUUUUAAGCCGCGUCCCUUCUUUUCGACAGGGUAGCCCGUUCCACCUUUCCUCUUCUUUUCUCCUUCCUCAACACUCGCCUCCACAGACUUCGAGGUGAAUGAAGCGCGAAUCUCGCGCCCGCUUUCUUUUCCGCGUAUGAAAGGGAGUCGUCUCUUUCUUUCUCUUUCUACGUUCCUAUCUUUCUGUCUCUCCCUUUCGUACGCACGACACACGGUUGCUGUCUCACACGUGUGUAUCUUAUGCGAAUCGACGUCGACUCGUUGCACAUACUCUCAGACCUUCCACGCUACAUUCUCGGCAUUGUGCGCGUCACACACGUGAUGCUACGACGUUUCACUCCGUCGCUUUAUUCAAUCCUUUAUAUCUGCGAGUGACUUUAAUAGUCCUUCUAUUACGUCGCCAACUUUUUUACCCCUUUUUUCUUUUAUUUUCUUUUUUCCUUCUUUUCUUCUUUUUUUUUUAUUAUUCCUUCUUCUUCUCUUUCCUUGAAAAGGGCGGAGUUGUUUCACAUUAACAUCACGCUUUUCUGCGUAAUAAAGAGCCUCACUUUUAUUCCAUUCGAAUUGAUCGUAAGCGUACGCGGAAACGUUUAGAAUCGCCGUCUCGACACAUUAAAUCAAAGUCGUUCGCAAGAAA